UGCCUAAUACAUGCAAGUCGAGCGGNUCUUCAUUAGCUUGCUUUUGAAGAUCAGCGGCGGACGGGUGAGUAACACGUGGGCAACCUGCCUGUAAGACUGGGAUAACUUCGGGAAACCGGAGCUAAUACCGGAUAAUCCUUUCCCUCACAUGAGGGAAAGCUGAAAGACGGNAUCUCGCUGUCACUUACGGAUGGGCCCGCGGCGCAUUAGCUAGUUGGUGRGGUAACGGCUCACCAAGGCAACGAUGCGUAGCCGACCUGAGAGGGUGAUCGGACACACUGGGACUGAGACACGGCCCAGACUCCUACGGGAGGCAGCGGUUGGGAAUCUUCCGCAAUGGACGAAAGUUUGACGGAGCAACGCCGCGUGAACCAUGAAGGCUUUCGGGUCGUAAAGUUCUGUUGUCAGGGAAGAACAAGUACCGGAGUAACUGCCGGUACCUUGACGGUACCUGACCAGAAAGCCACGGAUAACUACGUGCCAGCAGCCGCGGUAAUACCUAGGUGGCAAGCGUUGUCCGGAAUUAUUGGGCGUAAAGCGCGCGCAGGCGGUUCCUUAAGUCUGAUGUGAAAGCCCCCGGAUCAACCGGGGAGGGUCAUUGGAAACUGGGGAACUUGAGUGCAGAAGAAGAGA
RNAcentral lists this ribosomal RNA (633 nucleotides) under Bacillus sp. SP45. RNAcentral describes it as "bacterial SSU rRNA". It matches the Rfam family "Bacterial small subunit ribosomal RNA", at positions 45 to 660 of the family's 1533-position model. Lineage: Bacteria; Bacillati; Bacillota; Bacilli; Caryophanales; Bacillaceae. The record is from RNAcentral.